UUACAUCUGAUUGUGAUUCGUUUUGUUUAAAUCAACUUUUGCAAGCUUUUAUAGAAAUAGAAACAUAUCGAAAAGUUUUUGAAGGAUUGGAGUUCCCAUCAAUAUAUAUGCCAUUUAGUAACGGAAACCGAGAAGACUGAAUCACCAUUGCCGCUGAACGAAGAAACAAAGAAACCUGAACGAUGAAAAUCUGUGAUAAAUUGAAUUAUUAUAUAAAGUACUGAUUCAUAUAUUAAUUCGUUAUCUGUAAGUAGUUGUUAGCAUCUUAAUUUAGGUUUUGUGCCAUAUUGAAAAAGUGCAAGCGUGUUACGUUUGAAUCUACUGACUUACUAUUUAUUUUUCCUUUUUUUGUAUCGACUUGACUUUGACUACUCCCAAAUCUUUUCAACGUGGUUAUAGACAAAAUGCUCCUGCCCAAUGAGGAUGUUCUAUGGUUACUUUGACUUGUAGAUUACAGUAUGUAGCACCCAUUGUUGAGAGCUUGACUUCCAAUUUUGUUUUCAAACAGAAUUUUGAUUUUUACGUUUAAGUUAAGUUGCGUUUUUUGUAAUAUUUGUUAAUUUAUUUUGAAUAGUUCUGAAAUAUAUCAAUUGUAUGUUU
Long non-coding RNA from Dendroctonus ponderosae (mountain pine beetle), 600 nucleotides. RefSeq lists it as uncharacterized. The transcript is spliced from 2 exons. NCBI's taxonomy places the organism in Eukaryota, Metazoa, Arthropoda, Insecta, Coleoptera, Curculionidae. The record is from RefSeq and is a predicted model, not a curated record.